GGACAACAGAGGUAUUCGUACCAAAGAAAUUAAUACAAUGACAUUUAAACUUACAAGUGGGCCUGCAGAGGUCGCCUUCAAGACUACUUAAUUCAAGCUUUCACACAGCAGUUGAAGCAGCUUAGAAUGCUCUUUCUUGUUGGUGGAGGGUGGUGACUCUGAUGAUAGGGGUGAUGAUUAUCAGUAGGGAAAGGGUCUGUUGUGGUUGGAGGUGCGGCUGAGGCAACGAGCUCCUCUUCAUUUCCAAGACUCGCCCGAGACACAUCUCUCUUGUUUUGUUUCCUAUUUUCCCUAAGUUUUGAGAAAUCAAGCGAGUAGUCAGGCAGCUGUCCCUUCUGGUCCCAAUCUCCAAACUGUGGCACUGAAAGCCAGGGAGCAGUUUUCUCCUUCCUAUCAUCCAUCUGCAAGUUCUCACUUGACAACACAACGAAGAACACCGGACAAGAAGACGCUUGAAGUAGCAAGAGGAGAGUUCAAG
RNAcentral lists this unclassified non-coding RNA (478 nucleotides) under Hevea brasiliensis (rubber tree). The record is from RNAcentral. Lineage: Eukaryota; Viridiplantae; Streptophyta; Magnoliopsida; Malpighiales; Euphorbiaceae.